AUUGAACGCUGGCGGCAUGCCUUACACAUGCAAGUCGAACGGCAGCACGGGGGCAACCCUGGUGGCGAGUGGCGAACGGGUGAGUAACACAUCGGAACGUACCCAGUUGUGGGGGAUAACCAGUCGAAAGACGGGCUAAUACCGCAUGAUCUGGUGACAGCAAAGCGGGGGAUCGCAAGACCUCGCGCGAUUGGAGCGGCCGAUGUCCGAUUAGCUAGNGGUGGGGUAAAGGCCCACCAAGGCUUUGAUCGGUAGCUGGUCUGAGAGGAUGAUCAGCCACACUGGGACUGAGACACGGCCCAGACUCCUACGGGAGGCAGCAGUGGGAAUCUUGCGCAAUGGGCGAAAGCCUGACGCAGC
Molecule: ribosomal RNA, 360 nt
Filed under: uncultured bacterium
Lineage: Bacteria
Description: bacterial SSU rRNA
Rfam family: Bacterial small subunit ribosomal RNA
Source: RNAcentral